Molecule: ribosomal RNA, 255 nt
Filed under: uncultured bacterium
Lineage: Bacteria
Description: partial 16S ribosomal RNA
Rfam family: Bacterial small subunit ribosomal RNA
Source: RNAcentral
GACGUAGGGCGCGAGCGUUUGUCCGGAUUUAUUGGGCGUAAAGAGCUCGUAGGCGGCUUGUCGCGUCGUCCGUGAAAACCCACAGCUCAACUGUGGGCUUGCGGUCGAUACGGGCAGACUAGAGUUCGGUAGGGGAGUCUGGAAUUCCUGGUGUAGCGGUGAAAUGCGCAGAUAUCAGGAGGAACACCGAUGGCGAAGGCAGGUCUCUGGGCAUUAACUGACGCUGAGGAGCGAAAGCAUGGGGGAGCGAACAGG